This 398-nucleotide ribosomal RNA is filed under the name uncultured bacterium. RNAcentral describes it as "bacterial SSU rRNA". It matches the Rfam family "Bacterial small subunit ribosomal RNA", at positions 355 to 771 of the family's 1533-position model. The record is from RNAcentral.
UAGGGAAUAUUAGUAAUGGGCGAAAGCCUGAACUAGCAACGCCGCGUGUGCGAAGAAGGCCUUCGGGUUGUAAAGCACUUUUUGAGAGGAUGAGGAAGGACGGUACUCUCAGAAUAAGUCUCGGCUAACUACGUGCCAGCAGCCGCGGUAACACGUAGGAGGCGAACGUUAUCCGGAUUUACUGGGCGUAAAGCGCGUGUAGGUGGUUUGGUAAGUAGGGCGUGAAAGCUCCUGGCUCAACUGGGAGAGGCCGUUCUAAACUGCCGAACUAGAGGAUGGUAGAGGGAGGUGGAGUGCCGGGGGUAGCGGUGGAAUGCGCCGAUAUCCGGAGGAACAACAGUGCAAAAGCGGCCUCCUGGAUCACUCCUGACACUCAGACGCGAAAGCUAGGGUAGCAA